Molecule: ribosomal RNA, 731 nt
Filed under: Thermococcus sp. BHI60a21
Lineage: Archaea; Methanobacteriati; Methanobacteriota; Thermococci; Thermococcales; Thermococcaceae
Description: bacterial SSU rRNA
Rfam family: Archaeal small subunit ribosomal RNA
Source: RNAcentral
CCGACUAAGCCAUGCGAGUCAUGGGGCGCCUUGCGCGCACCGGCGGACGGCUCAGUAACACGUCGGUAACCUACCCUCGGGAGGGGGAUAACCCCGGGAAGCUGGGGCUAAUCCCCCAUAGGCCUGAGGUACUGGAAGGUCCUCAGGCCGAAAGGGGCUUUGCCCGCCCGAGGAUGGGCCGGCGGCCGAUUAGGUAGUUGGUGGGGUAACGGCCCACCAAGCCGAAGAUCGGUACGGGCCAUGAGAGUGGGAGCCCGGAGAUGGACACUGAGACACGGGUCCAGGCCCUACGGGGCGCAGCAGGCGCGAAACCUCCGCAAUGCGGGCAACCGCGACGGGGGGACCCCCAGUGCCGUGGCAUCGCCACGGCUUUUCCGGAGUGUAAAAAGCUCCGGGAAUAAGGGCUGGGCAAGGCCGGUGGCAGCCGCCGCGGUAAUACCGGCGGCCCGAGUGGUGGCCGCUAUUAUUGGGCCUAAAGCGUCCGUAGCCGGGCCCGUAAGUCCCUGGCGAAAUCCCACGGCUCAACCGUGGGGCUUGCUGGGGAUACUGCGGGCCUUGGGACCGGGAGAGGCGGAGGGUACUCCUGGGGUAGGGGUGAAAUCCUAUAAUCCCAGGAGGACCGCCAGUGGCGAAGGCGCUCCGCUGGAACGGGUCCGACGGUGAGGGACGAAGCCAGGGGAGCGAACCGGAUUAGAUACCCGGGUAGUCCUGGCUGUAAAGGAUGCGGCUAG